RNAcentral lists this antisense RNA (75 nucleotides) under Actinomadura pelletieri DSM 43383. RNAcentral's name for it is "ASpks TB sRNA". It matches the Rfam family "ASpks TB sRNA". The record is from RNAcentral. Lineage: Bacteria; Bacillati; Actinomycetota; Actinomycetes; Streptosporangiales; Thermomonosporaceae.
CUUGAUCGACCCGAGCCAGAGCGGCUGGUCGUCGGGCCGUUCCUGCCCGUAGGUGGCCGAGAGAGCCUGUGCCUC